This 555-nucleotide ribosomal RNA is filed under the name uncultured Nitrosomonas sp. RNAcentral describes it as "bacterial SSU rRNA". It matches the Rfam family "Bacterial small subunit ribosomal RNA", at positions 384 to 923 of the family's 1533-position model. The record is from RNAcentral. Lineage: Bacteria; Pseudomonadati; Pseudomonadota; Betaproteobacteria; Nitrosomonadales; Nitrosomonadaceae.
AGGCUUAGCCAUGCCGCGUGAGUGAAGAAGGCCUUCGGGUUGUGGAGGGCUCUGGUUAAGCCGGGAAGAAAAGGUUGCGACUAAUAAGUCGUGAUCCAUUGACGGUACCGGAAGAAGAAGCACCGGCUAACUACGUGCCUCAGUUCCGCGAAUACGUAGGGUGCGAGCUGUUAAUCGGAUAUUACUGGGCGUAAAGGGUGCGCAGGCGGUCUUGUAAGUCAGAUGUGAAAUAGCCCCGGGCUUAACCUGGGAAUUUGCGUAAUUGAAACUACAAGACUAGAGUGUAGCAGAGGGGGGUGGAAUUCACAUGUGUAGCAGUGAAAUGCGUAGAGAUAUGGAAGAACACCGAUGGCGAAGGCAGCCCUGGGCUAACACUGACGCUCAGGCACGAAAGCGUGGGCAGCAACCAGGAUUAGAUACCCUGGUAGUCCACGCCCUAAACGAUGUCAACUAGUUGUCGGGCCUUCAUAGGCUUGGUAACGUAGCUAACGCGUGAAGUUGACCGCCUGGGGAGUACGGUCGCAAGAUUAAAACUCAAGAAUUGACGUUGUUGGA